GGCGAACGCUGGCGGCGUGCUUAACACAUGCAAGUCGAACGGAAAGGCCUGCUUUCCCUUGUGGAUUGCGGGUACUCGAGUGUCGAACGGGUGAGUAACACGUGAGUGAUCUGCCCCCAACUUGGGUAUAAGCCUGGGAAACUGGGUCUAAUUCCCGAUAGGACUGCAGGGUGGUGCCUGUGGUGGAAAACGAUUUUGUAGUGGUUGGGGAUGAGCUCGCGGCCUAUCAGCUUGUUGGUGGGGUAAUGGCCUACCAAGGCGGGGACGGGUAGCCGGCCUGAGAGUGUGGACGGCGACAGUGUGACUGAGAACCUGCCCAGAGACCUACGGGAGGCAGCAGUGGGGAAUAUAGCACGAUGGGCGGAAGCCUGAUGCAGCGACGCCGCGUGGAGGAUGACGGCCUUCGGGUUGUAAACUCCUGUCGACCGAGAGGAAGCCACCUGGUUGGAAGGGUGGUGACGGUAGUGGGAGAAGAAGCACCGGCUAACUACGUG
This 494-nucleotide ribosomal RNA is filed under the name uncultured bacterium. RNAcentral describes it as "partial 16S ribosomal RNA". It matches the Rfam family "Bacterial small subunit ribosomal RNA", at positions 28 to 507 of the family's 1533-position model. The record is from RNAcentral.